AGAAUCAACGCUGGCGGCGUGCCUAACACAUGCAAGUCGCACGAGAAAGGGACUUCGGUCCUGAGUACAGUGGCGCACGGGUGAGUAACACGUGAAUAAUCUACCUCCGAGUGGGGAAUAACUGAGAGAAAUCUUAGCUAAUACCGCAUAACACUUACGAGUCAAAGGAGCAAUUCGCUUAAGGAGGGGGUCGCGGCCGAUUAGUUAGUUGGCGGGGUAAUGGCCCACCAAGACUGUGAUCGGUA
RNAcentral lists this ribosomal RNA (245 nucleotides) under uncultured bacterium. Its description in RNAcentral is "partial small subunit ribosomal RNA". It matches the Rfam family "Bacterial small subunit ribosomal RNA", at positions 26 to 285 of the family's 1533-position model. The record is from RNAcentral.